RNAcentral lists this ribosomal RNA (253 nucleotides) under uncultured bacterium. Its description in RNAcentral is "partial 16S ribosomal RNA". It matches the Rfam family "Bacterial small subunit ribosomal RNA", at positions 524 to 776 of the family's 1533-position model. The record is from RNAcentral.
UACGUAGGGUGCAAGCGUUGUCCGGAAUCAUUGGGCGUAAAGCGCGCGUAGGUGGUCAUGUAAGUCCGCUGUGAAAGUCAAAGGCUCAACCUUUGAAAGCCGGUGGAUACUGCAUGACUAGAGUACGGAAGAGGCGAGUGGAAUUCCUGGUGUAGCGGUGGAAUGCGUAGAGAUCGGGAAGAACAUCAGUGGCGAAGGCGGCCUGCUGGGCUGUUGCUGACGCUGAGGCGCGACAGCGUGGGGAGCAAACAGG